UACGAAGGGGGCUAGCGUUGCUCGGAAUCACUGGGCGUAAAGCGCACGUAGGCGGCUUUCUAAGUCAGGGGUGAAAUCCUGGAGCUCAACUCCAGAACUGCCUUCGAUACUGGCGAUCUUGGAGUCCGGGAGAGGUGAGUGGAACUCCUAGUGUAGAGGUGAAAUUCGUAGAUAUUAGGAAGAACACCAGUGGCGAAGGCGGCUCACUGGCCCGGUACUGACGCUGAUAUGCGAAAGCGUGGGGAGCAAACAGG
Molecule: ribosomal RNA, 254 nt
Filed under: uncultured bacterium
Lineage: Bacteria
Description: partial 16S ribosomal RNA
Rfam family: Bacterial small subunit ribosomal RNA
Source: RNAcentral